This 442-nucleotide ribosomal RNA is filed under the name uncultured bacterium. RNAcentral's name for it is "bacterial SSU rRNA". It matches the Rfam family "Bacterial small subunit ribosomal RNA", at positions 958 to 1398 of the family's 1533-position model. The record is from RNAcentral.
AACGCGAAGAACCUUACCAGCUCUUGACAUGUCCCGUAUGAGUACCAGAGAUGGAACUCUUCAGUUCGGCUGGCGGGAACACAGGUGCUGCAUGGCUGUCGUCAGCUCGUGUCGUGAGAUGUUGGGUUAAGUCCCGCAACGAGCGCAACCCUCGCCCUUAGUUGCCAUCAUUUAGUUGGGCACUCUAAGGGGACUGCCGGUGAUAAGCCGCGAGGAAGGUGGGGAUGACGUCAAGUCCUCAUGGCCCUUACGGGCUGGGCUACACACGUGCUACAAUGGCGGUGACAAUGGGAUGCAAUGGAGUAAUCCUGCGCAAAUCUCAAAAAGCCGUCUCAGUUCGGAUUGUGCUCUGCAACUCGAGCACAUGAAGUUGGAAUCGCUAGUAAUCGCAGAUCAGCACGCUGCGGUGAAUACGUUCCCGGGCCUUGUACACACCGGAGUA